GGGGGUAUAGCUCAGCUGGGAGAGCACCUGCUUUGCAAGCAGGGGGUCAGCGGUUCGAGUCCGCUUACCUCCA
RNAcentral lists this transfer RNA (73 nucleotides) under Gammaproteobacteria bacterium. Its description in RNAcentral is "tRNA-Ala". It matches the Rfam family "tRNA". From Rfam's summary of the family: Transfer RNA (tRNA) molecules are approximately 80 nucleotides in length. Their secondary structure includes four short double-helical elements and three loops (D, anti-codon, and T loops). The record is from RNAcentral. Lineage: Bacteria; Pseudomonadati; Pseudomonadota; Gammaproteobacteria. RNAcentral also lists the same sequence under 1 other name.